Long non-coding RNA from Pygocentrus nattereri (red-bellied piranha), 208 nucleotides. NCBI's taxonomy places the organism in Eukaryota, Metazoa, Chordata, Actinopteri, Characiformes, Serrasalmidae. The record is from Ensembl.
AGCCUCUACAUCGCUGGACUCUGCUGGUGCCAACGCUACAGCUAUUAACACCUCUACAUCGCUGGACUCUGCUGGUGCCAACGCUACAGCUAUUAACACCUCUACAUCGCUGGACUCUGCUGGUGCCAACGCUACAGCUAUUAACAGUAAGUGAGCAGUCAGAGGUCAGUCUUCACUAUUCAGACAUCCAAACACAUGCUAACCCCCC